RNAcentral lists this unclassified non-coding RNA (986 nucleotides) under Hevea brasiliensis (rubber tree). The record is from RNAcentral. Lineage: Eukaryota; Viridiplantae; Streptophyta; Magnoliopsida; Malpighiales; Euphorbiaceae.
GAAAAUCUAGAAAUUGCAGUAUAUGUUGCACCUAGUUACUGGCAAUCCAUAGCCAGUAUGCAGGAAGCCCAACCAUAAAAAGACAAUUGUAUUAAACUUGUAAGAAAUGGAAAGUUAAAACACAAUGCAAUUACAUCUGAACACAGGCUAGUCAAUGAACUUGGAAAUCAACCACAACCAGUGGAAUAACUGAAUAUUUUGCGAUUGUCGGGGUUCCUCCUAUCACAGGUUCUCUGCUAUUUUAGGCUGCUAGCCCAGUGGCUGAUUAUAACUGAACAUGCCAUGAGCGCAAGAAAAGGUAAUAAACACCCAAAAUCAUAAUAUAACAGUAAACAUUUGUAGCUCUCCAAUGUUUAAACAACGAAACAUACACGAACGAAUGGCCAUUAGACAGUGAUUCAAAACUUUUGGUUUGCAAAUUGAUAAAUAUAAAAACAAAACAGACUUGCAUUGCCUUGUUAGGCUUAUGAGGAGGCUGCAGCAGCUCCCUUGUUCCUUGGAGUGGCUUGUGUACCUUCUCUAAAGUUAGACUUGAACCUGCGCGGGACAUGACGAAGGUACCUCAUUCGGCCAGUGCCAGUUGUCUUUCUGCGAAUUGCCUUCACACUCCAGUUAUAUUUUCUGACGCGACUGGCAGGAUAACCACAAGCGCCGCAACGACUCUUCUGCAAAUGGAAGCUCCGACGACCGCAUCGCACACAGAGGGUGUGUGUCUUAUUCCUUCUCUUACCAAAGCUUCCAGUCCCUUUACCCUAAUAAACCAUAUUUACAAGCAAUCACCGAUCACCAAACCAUUCUGCAUCAAAAGACAUAUAAAUAAGAUUAGAAAGACGAGAAAAGAGCACCAUAUCUUUAACGGCUACGGCGACCUGAGUGGAGAAAAUUUGCUGCAAGUGGAGGUUGAAGUAUUUAUAUACAGUGUGGAUGUAGGGUUUUCAAAAAUGGAGGGGGUUGAGUGAGGGUUUGGAGUGGCCGUGAUGUUUGAA